UGUCGCCGGUAGCCUCCGCCCGGCUGACUCGGGCCUCUCGGGGUGGGGAGAGGGCCGACUUGCGCGUGCUAACUGGAGUUGGGGAGCGGCAGUUGCAGAGUCCGGGCUGAAGUCGCAGCGCCCCUCUUCCUGAAGGCGGGAAAGCUGGGGGUCGGGGGAGGCUGUGCGGGGGUCCUCCGAGGCUGGACUCGUUGCGGUGGGCCUCAGCCUCCUAACCUCCCCUCCCCCUCUUACAGGAGGUUCUAAUAACUUUUAAUUGUGUCUUGGCUUCCCUUGUGGCUCAGCUGGUAAAGAAUCAGCCUGCAGUACGGGAGACCUGGGUUCGAUCCCUGGGUUGGGAAGAUCCGCCGGCCAAGGGAAAGGCUACCCACUCCAGUAUCCUGGCCUGGAGACUUCCAUGGACUUUCCAUGGGGUCGCAAAGAGUCGGACACGACUGAGCAACUUUCACUUCACUCCACUUGCGUCUUGGGGCGUUCUGGCUUAAAAUUCAUCCCUAGGCUAGCAGGUCCCUGGAUUCAGCCAAAUCUCUCUGCGCUCCUUCCUCUCUGAGAUGCAAGUACCGAGGGCAGGGGAGCGGGGAUUGGACUGAAGGGACCCCUGGAGCGCUGGCCUCCGCCCAGAAAAGAAGUCGGGACCAGCGGUAUCACAGACGCCCCGGACCCUUCUGGCGGAAUCGAGGGGGACAGUUAGGUCGUCCCUGCCGCCUCAACGACCUGGAAGCCUGGCUUCCAGCCCCAGAACUUUCCGGGCUCCGGGAAGAAUCCAGGCUGGAGGCUGGAACUUAAGAAGUGCUGCCCCGUGAGUUCCAGAGGUGGAGGCGGAAGGGUGAACGGAGUCGUGUGGUGGAGAAGGGAGAGGUCUUGCUGUCUCUAAGCUGAACCUGGUCACCUUUUUUUGAGCCAAGAAGAGCCCUGGGAUGUGAAGAAAAGGAGACAACAGUCAUGCACCCAGGUUCAUAGAUUGCCCAGUCUGCCAGAAUGUUCCCGAGGCUGUCAGAUGGAAUCAAAAUGAAGACGCGCUUGCCAUGUGUGUCAAACACUCGCUGGCAAAACCAAAGGCACACCAUACCAGAGAAAACCAAACUUUGAAACGAUACACGCACCCCAGUGUUCCAUUCAGCACUGUUCACAACAGCCAAGACACAGAAGCAACCUACA
Bubalus bubalis (water buffalo) is the source of this 1158-nucleotide long non-coding RNA. RefSeq lists it as uncharacterized. The transcript has 4 exons. The record is from RefSeq and is a predicted model, not a curated record. Lineage: Eukaryota; Metazoa; Chordata; Mammalia; Artiodactyla; Bovidae.